This 756-nucleotide ribosomal RNA is filed under the name Nocardia sp. PCH16S-041. Its description in RNAcentral is "bacterial SSU rRNA". It matches the Rfam family "Bacterial small subunit ribosomal RNA", at positions 56 to 831 of the family's 1533-position model. The record is from RNAcentral. Lineage: Bacteria; Bacillati; Actinomycetota; Actinomycetes; Mycobacteriales; Nocardiaceae.
UGCAGUCGAGCGGUAAGGCCCUUCGGGGUACACGAGCGGCGAACGGGUGAGUAACACGUGGGUGAUCUGCCUCGUACUCUGGGAUAAGCCUGGGAAACUGGGUCUAAUACCGGAUAUGACCACAUGUCGCAUGGUGUGUGGUGGAAAGAUUUAUCGGUGCGAGAUGGGCCCGCGGCCUAUCAGCUUGUUGGUGGGGUAACGGCCUACCAAGGCGACGACGGGUAGCCGACCUGAGAGGGUGAUCGGCCACACUGGGACUGAGACACGGCCCAGACUCCUACGGGAGGCAGCAGUGGGGAAUAUUGCACAAUGGGCGGAAGCCUGAUGCAGCGACGCCGCGUGCGGGAUGACGGCCUUCGGGUUGUAAACCGCUUUCGACUCCGACGAAGCGCAAGUGACGGUAGGAGUAGAAGAAGCACCGGCCAACUACGUGCCAGCAGCCGCGGUAAUACGUAGGGUGCGAGCGUUGUCCGGAAUUACUGGGCGUAAAGAGCUUGUAGGCGGUCUGUCGCGUCUUCUGUGAAAAUUCACAGCUCAACUGUGAACCUGCAGGGGAUACGGGCAGACUAGAGUACUUCAGGGGAGACUGGAAUUCCUGGUGUAGCGGUGAAAUGCGCAGAUAUCANGAGGAACACCGGUGGCGAAGGCGGGUCUCUGGGAAGUAACUGACGCUGAGAAGCGAAAGCGUGGGUAGCGAACAGGAUUAGAUACCCUGGUAGUCCACGCNGUAAACGGUGNUACUAGGUGUGGGUUUCC